UGGGUAGUCCGCACGAGCGCACCUUAUCAUUAGUUGCUACGCAAGGGCACUCUAAUGAGACUGCCGGUGACAAACCGGAGGAAGGUGGGGAUGACGUCAGGUCAUCAUGGCCCUUAUGGGUAGGGCUACACACGUCAUACAAUGGCCGGUACAGAGGGCUGCCAACUCGCGAGAGGGAGCUAAUCUCAGAAAACCGGUCGUAGUCCGGAUCGCAGUCUGCAACUCGACUGCGUGAAGUCGGAAUCGCUAGUAAUCGCGGAUCAGCUUGCCGCGGUGAAUACGUUCCCGGGUCUUGUACACACCGCCCGUCACACCAUGGGAGCGGGUUCUGCCAGAAGUAGUUAGCCUAACCGCAAGGAGGGCGAUUACCACGGCAGGGUUCGUGACUGGGGUGAAGUCGUAACAAGGUAGCCGUAUCGGAAGGUGCGGCCGGAUCACCUCCU
Molecule: ribosomal RNA, 443 nt
Filed under: uncultured bacterium
Lineage: Bacteria
Description: bacterial SSU rRNA
Rfam family: Bacterial small subunit ribosomal RNA
Source: RNAcentral